This 396-nucleotide ribosomal RNA is filed under the name uncultured bacterium. Its description in RNAcentral is "partial 16S ribosomal RNA". It matches the Rfam family "Bacterial small subunit ribosomal RNA", at positions 523 to 918 of the family's 1533-position model. The record is from RNAcentral.
AUACGUAGGGGGCAAGCGUUAUCCGGAUUUACUGGGUGUAAAGGGAGCGUAGACGGCAAAGCAAGUCUGAAGUGAAAGCCCCGGGCUCAACCCGGGAAUUGCUUUGGAAACUGUUUAGCUAGAGUGCAGGAGAGGUAAGCGGAAUUCCUAGUGUAGCGGUGAAAUGCGUAGAUAUUAGGAGGAACACCGGCGGCGAAGGCGGCUUACUGGACUGUAACUGACGUUGAGGCUCGAAAGCGUGGGGAGCAAACAGGAUUAGAUACCCUGGUAGUCCACGCCGUAAACGAUGAUUACUAGGUGUUGGUUGUCAUAGACAAUCGGUGCCGCAGCAAACGCAAUAAGUAAUCCACCUGGGGAGUACGUUCGCAAGAAUGAAACUUAAAGGAAUUGACGGGG